AAAGAAAACUUUAUUUAACUCUACUUUUAACUUUACCGUUUCAGAUAAGCGGGUAUUACGUCGCAGUCAUGUGCCGCGGGUAUUACGUCAAUAGGCGGAAAUCCCGCCAAGAUUCAAAUCUGUGGGCGCGGAUUGCCGUGAGCGCGACAGCGGAUACAAACACGACGAUUAUCAACAGAAAUAUCUUUAUUUUCUGCUUGCAACUGGACCGUCUAGAGCGUACACGGUUCCACGGUGUUCUUUGGCUGUAUGUUUUCCACUG
Molecule: long non-coding RNA, 262 nt
Organism: Syngnathus acus (greater pipefish)
Lineage: Eukaryota; Metazoa; Chordata; Actinopteri; Syngnathiformes; Syngnathidae
Exons: 2
Source: RefSeq, a predicted model, not a curated record